This 2919-nucleotide ribosomal RNA is filed under the name Salmonella enterica subsp. enterica serovar Choleraesuis. RNAcentral describes it as "partial 23S ribosomal RNA". It matches the Rfam family "Bacterial large subunit ribosomal RNA". The record is from RNAcentral. Lineage: Bacteria; Pseudomonadati; Pseudomonadota; Gammaproteobacteria; Enterobacterales; Enterobacteriaceae.
GUUAAGCGACUAAGCGUACACGGUGGAUGCCCUGGCAGUCAGAGGCGAUGAAGGGCGUGCUAAUCUGCGAUAAGCGCCGGUAAGGUGAUAUGAACCGUUAUAACCGGCGAUACCCGAAUGGGGAAACCCAGUGUGACUCGUCACACUAUCAUUAACUGAAUCCAUAGGUUAAUGAGGCGAACCGGGGGAACUGAAACAUCUAAGUACCCCGAGGAAAAGAAAUCAACCGAGAUUCCCCCAGUAGCGGCGAGCGAACGGGGAGGAGCCCAGAGCCUGAAUCAGCAUGUGUGUUAGUGGAAGCGUCUGGAAAGGCGCGCGAUACAGGGUGACAGCCCCGUACACAAAAGCGCAUGUGCUGUGAGCUCGAUGAGUAGGGCGGGACACGUGGUAUCCUGUCUGAAUAUGGGGGGACCAUCCUCCAAGGCUAAAUACUCCUGACUGACCGAUAGUGAACCAGUACCGUGAGGGAAAGGCGAAAAGAACCCCGGCGAGGGGAGUGAAAAAGAACCUGAAACCGUGUACGUACAAGCAGUGGGAGCACAGGUUUACCUGUGUGACUGCGUACCUUUUGUAUAAUGGGUCAGCGACUUAUAUUCUGUAGCAAGGUUAACCGUAUAGGGGAGCCGUAGGGAAACCGAGUCUUAACCGGGCGUUAAGUUGCAGGGUAUAGACCCGAAACCCGGUGAUCUAGCCAUGGGCAGGUUGAAGGUUGGGUAACACUAACUGGAGGACCGAACCGACUAAUGUUGAAAAAUUAGCGGAUGACCUGUGGCUGGGGGUGAAAGGCCAAUCAAACCGGGAGAUAGCUGGUUCUCCCCGAAAGCUAUUUAGGUAGCGCCUCGUGAAUUCAUCUCCGGGGGUAGAGCACUGUUUCGGCUAGGGGGCCAUCCCGGCUUACCAACCCGAUGCAAACUGCGAAUACCGGAGAAUGUUAUCACGGGAGACACACGGCGGGUGCUAACGUCCGUCGUGAAGAGGGAAACAACCCAGACCGCCAGCUAAGGUCCCAAAGUCAUGGUUAAGUGGGAAACGAUGUGGGAAGGCCCAGACAGCCAGGAUGUUGGCUUAGAAGCAGCCAUCAUUUAAAGAAAGCGUAAUAGCUCACUGGUCGAGUCGGCCUGCGCGGAAGAUGUAACGGGGCUAAACCAUGCACCGAAGCUGCGGCAGCGACGCUGAUGCGUUGUUGGGUAGGGGAGCGUUCUGUAAGCCUGUGAAGGUGGCCUGUGAGGGUUGCUGGAGGUAUCAGAAGUGCGAAUGCUGACAUAAGUAACGAUAAAGCGGGUGAAAAGCCCGCUCGCCGGAAGACCAAGGGUUCCUGUCCAACGUUAAUCGGGGCAGGGUGAGUCGACCCCUAAGGCGAGGCCGAAAGGCGUAGUCGAUGGGAAACGGGUUAAUAUUCCCGUACUUGGUGUUACUGCGAAGGGGGGACGGAGAAGGCUAUGUUGGCCGGGCGACGGUUGUCCCGGUUUAAGCGUGUAGGUGUGUGUUCCAGGUAAAUCCGGUUCACUUUAACACUGAGGCGUGAUGACGAGGCACUACGGUGCUGAAGCAACAAAUGCCCUGCUUCCAGGAAAAGCCUCUAAGCAUCAGGUAACAUCAAAUCGUACCCCAAACCGACACAGGUGGUCAGGUAGAGAAUACCAAGGCGCUUGAGAGAACUCGGGUGAAGGAACUAGGCAAAAUGGUGCCGUAACUUCGGGAGAAGGCACGCUGACACGUAGGUGAAGUGAUUUACUCAUGGAGCUGAAGUCAGUCGAAGAUACCAGCUGGCUGCAACUGUUUAUUAAAAACACAGCACUGUGCAAACACGAAAGUGGACGUAUACGGUGUGACGCCUGCCCGGUGCCGGAAGGUUAAUUGAUGGGGUCAGCGCAAGCGAAGCUCCUGAUCGAAGCCCCGGUAAACGGCGGCCGUAACUAUAACGGUCCUAAGGUAGCGAAAUUCCUUGUCGGGUAAGUUCCGACCUGCACGAAUGGCGUAAUGAUGGCCAGGCUGUCUCCACCCGAGACUCAGUGAAAUUGAACUCGCUGUGAAGAUGCAGUGUACCCGCGGCAAGACGGAAAGACCCCGUGAACCUUUACUAUAGCUUGACACUGAACAUUGAGCCUUGAUGUGUAGGAUAGGUGGGAGGCUUUGAAGCGUGGACGCCAGUCUGCAUGGAGCCGGCCUUGAAAUACCACCCUUUAAUGUUUGAUGUUCUAACGUGGACCCGUGAUCCGGGUUGCGGACAGUGUCUGGUGGGUAGUUUGACUGGGGCGGUCUCCUCCUAAAGAGUAACGGAGGAGCACGAAGGUUGGCUAAUCCUGGUCGGACAUCAGGAGGUUAGUGCAAUGGCAUAAGCCAGCUUGACUGCGAGCGUGACGGCGCGAGCAGGUGCGAAAGCAGGUCAUAGUGAUCCGGUGGUUCUGAAUGGAAGGGCCAUCGCUCAACGGAUAAAAGGUACUCCGGGGAUAACAGGCUGAUACCGCCCAAGAGUUCAUAUCGACGGCGGUGUUUGGCACCUCGAUGUCGGCUCAUCACAUCCUGGGGCUGAAGUAGGUCCCAAGGGUAUGGCUGUUCGCCAUUUAAAGUGGUACGCGAGCUGGGUUUAGAACGUCGUGAGACAGUUCGGUCCCUAUCUGCCGUGGGCGCUGGAGAACUGAGGGGGGCUGCUCCUAGUACGAGAGGACCGGAGUGGACGCAUCACUGGUGUUCGGGUUGUCAUGCCAAUGGCACUGCCCGGUAGCUAAAUGCGGAAGAGAUAAGUGCUGAAAGCAUCUAAGCACGAAACUUGCCCCGAGAUGAGUUCUCCCUGAGACUUAGAGUCUCCUGAAGGAACGUUGAAGACGACGACGUUGAUAGGCCGGGUGUGUAAGCGCAGCGAUGCGUUGAGCUAACCGGUACUAAUGAACCGUGAGGCUUAACCUUACAACGCCGAAG